RNAcentral lists this ribosomal RNA (497 nucleotides) under uncultured bacterium. RNAcentral's name for it is "partial 16S ribosomal RNA". It matches the Rfam family "Bacterial small subunit ribosomal RNA", at positions 28 to 507 of the family's 1533-position model. The record is from RNAcentral.
GAUGAACGCUGGCGGCGUGCCUAAUACAUGCAAGUCGAGCGAACAGACGAGGAGCUUUCUCCUCUGACGUUAGCGGCGGACGGGUGAGUAACACGUGGAUAACCUACCUAUAAGACUGGGAUAACUUCGGGAAACCGGAGCUAAUACCGGAUAAUAUAUUGAACCGCAUGGUUCAAUAGUGAAAGACGGUUUUGCUGUCACUUAUAGAUUGAUCCGCGCCGCAUUAGCUAGUUGGUAAGGUAACGGCUUACCAAGGCGACGAUGCGUAGCCGACCUGAGAGGGUGAUCGGCCACACUGGAACUGAGACACGGUCCAGACUCCUACGGGAGGCAGCAGUAGGGAAUCUUCCGCAAUGGGCGAAAGCCUGACGGAGCAACGCCGCGUGAGUGAUGAAGGUCUUCGGAUCGUAAAACUCUGUUAUUAGGGAAGAACAAAUGUGUAAGUAACUAUGCACGUCUUGACGGUACCUAAUCAGAAAGCCACGGCUAACUACGUG